CUACUUCAGUUUCUCUUCAAAUCAUAUAAAUCUUUUGCCUUUUACUAAAUAUUUCUGUGAAAAGAAACAAUUACAAGUUAUUGACAAAUUUCUGAGACUCUGC
Small nuclear RNA from Sarcophilus harrisii (Tasmanian devil), 103 nucleotides. Its record names the gene U5. It matches the Rfam family "U5 spliceosomal RNA". Rfam says of the family: U5 RNA is a component of both types of known spliceosome. The precise function of this molecule is unknown, though it is known that the 5' loop is required for splice site selection and p220 binding, and that both the 3' stem-loop and the Sm site are important for Sm protein binding and cap methylation. Lineage: Eukaryota; Metazoa; Chordata; Mammalia; Dasyuromorphia; Dasyuridae. The record is from Ensembl.